RNAcentral lists this ribosomal RNA (460 nucleotides) under uncultured bacterium. RNAcentral's name for it is "partial 16S ribosomal RNA". It matches the Rfam family "Bacterial small subunit ribosomal RNA", at positions 338 to 795 of the family's 1533-position model. The record is from RNAcentral.
CCUACGGGUGGCAGCAGUGAGGAAUAUUGGUCAAUGGACGAGAGUCUGAACCAGCCAAGUAGCGUGAAGGAUGACUGCCCUAUGGGUUGUAAACUUCUUUUAUAUGGGAAUAAAAUGUUCCACGUGUGGGAUUUUGUAUGUACCAUAUGAAUAAGGAUCGGCUAACUCCGUGCCAGCAGCCGCGGUAAUACGGAGGAUCCGAGCGUUAUCCGGAUUUAUUGGGUUUAAAGGGAGCGUAGGCGGAUUGUUAAGUCAGUUGUGAAAGUUUGCGGCUCAACCGUAAAAUUGCAGUUGAAACUGGCAGUCUUGAGUACAGUAGAGGUGGGCGGAAUUCGUGGUGUAGCGGUGAAAUGCUUAGAUAUCACGAAGAACUCCGAUUGCGAAGGCAGUUCACUGGACUGCAACUGACACUGAGGCUCGAAAGUGUGGGUAUCAAACAGGAUUAGAUACCCUAGUAGUC